This 253-nucleotide ribosomal RNA is filed under the name uncultured bacterium. Its description in RNAcentral is "partial 16S ribosomal RNA". It matches the Rfam family "Bacterial small subunit ribosomal RNA", at positions 524 to 776 of the family's 1533-position model. The record is from RNAcentral.
UACGGAGGAUGCGAGCGUUAUCCGGAUUUACUGGGUGUAAAGGGAGCGUAGACGGCAGAGCAAGUCUGAAGUGAAAGCCCGCGGCCCAACUGCGGGACUGCUUUGGAAACUGCCCGGCUAGAGUGCUGGAGAGGUAAGCGGAAUUCCUAGUGUAGCGGUGAAAUGCGUAGAUAUUAGGAGGAACACCAGUGGCGAAGGCGGCUUACUGGACAGUAACUGACGUUGAGGCUCGAAAGCGUGGGGAGCAAACAGG